GCUCUCAUAGCUCAGGAGGUAGAGCGCGUCCUUGGUAAGGACGAGGUCACCGGUUCAACGCCGGUUGAGAGCUCCA
Molecule: transfer RNA, 76 nt
Filed under: Clostridium sp. 'deep sea'
Lineage: Bacteria; Bacillati; Bacillota; Clostridia; Eubacteriales; Clostridiaceae
Description: tRNA-Thr
Rfam family: tRNA
About the family: Transfer RNA (tRNA) molecules are approximately 80 nucleotides in length.
Source: RNAcentral